CUUCUUUUUCCACCGGAGCUUGCUCCACCGGAAAAAGAGGAGUGGCGAACGGGUGAGUAACACGUGGGUAACCUGCCCAUCAGAAGGGGAUAACACUUGGAAACAGGUGCUAAUACCGUAUAACAAUCGAAACCGCAUGGUUUUGAUUUGAAAGGCGCUUUCGGGUGUCGCUGAUGGAUGGACCCGCGGUGCAUUAGCUAGUUGGUGAGGUAACGGCUCACCAAGGCCACGAUGCAUAGCCGACCUGAGAGGGCGAUCGGCCACAUUGGGACUGAGACACGGCCCAAACUCCUACGGGAGGCAGCAGUAGGGAAUCUUCGGCAAUGGACGAAAGUCUGACCGAGCAACGCCGCGUGAGUGAAGAAGGUUUUCGGAUCGUAAAACUCUGUUGUUAGAGAAGAACAAGGAUGAGAGUAACUGUUCAUCCCUUGACGGUAUCUAACCAGAAAGCCACGGCUAACUACGUGCCAGCAGCCGCGGUAAUACGUAGGUGGCAAGCGUUGUCCGGAUUUAUUGGGCGUAAAGCGAGCGCAGGCGGUUUCUUAAGUCUGAUGUGAAAGCCCCCGGCUCAACCGGGGAGGGUCAUUGGAAACUGGGAGACUUGAGUGCAGAAGAGGAGAGUGGAAUUCCAUGUGUAGCGGUGAAAUGCGUAGAUAUAUGGAGGAACACCAGUGGCGAAGGCGGCUCUCUGGUCUGUAACUGACGCUGAGGCUCGAAAGCGUGGGGAGCAAACAGG
RNAcentral lists this ribosomal RNA (736 nucleotides) under uncultured Bacilli bacterium. RNAcentral's name for it is "bacterial SSU rRNA". It matches the Rfam family "Bacterial small subunit ribosomal RNA", at positions 69 to 776 of the family's 1533-position model. The record is from RNAcentral. Lineage: Bacteria; Bacillati; Bacillota; Bacilli.